Molecule: long non-coding RNA, 649 nt
Organism: Dermacentor andersoni
Lineage: Eukaryota; Metazoa; Arthropoda; Arachnida; Ixodida; Ixodidae
Source: RefSeq, a predicted model, not a curated record
UCCAUCCGUUGGGGCGGCUUCAAAACCAGGGAACAGUGUUUUCUUUGGAUUGCCAGUCGCGGAGAGAACAGAGUCGAGUUCAGUCGGCGAAGCAGCCGGACGUGCUGCCGAUCCAGCUCCACUCGAACAAGUCGUUCCAAGGCGACAACCGGAAACAAUUUCCGACCAAAGUGAUAUUUUCUUAACUGACCUUUUGGCCUCCUCACGGGAGCCUUGUUCAGGAGAGUCAUGUCACUCGAUGUACAGCCAGGGACUUCUACCAUGUCAAGCACGCGCUCCGAAGAUUGGUCCAGUAGUUGGACUUCCGACCCUCAAAGUCGAACGAACACGACUACCGGCACCAUGACCAGCAGCGCUUCUGCUGUCCCGUCUGGCCUACCGUCCGGUAUCACACCGUCCGCUAUCACGCCGCCCGGUAUCACGCCGUCCGGCAUCACGCCACCCGGCAUUCCUCCACGCGCUCCACAGAACGUAAGGUUCUCGGGCACCGCGCAUAAGUCCCAGCCCAGGCCCCUCACGGAUACAGCAAAGACCUCGGAUUUGAAAACCCUCUCCGAGCCAAGAAGAAGGGAAGGCGCACUGUUGCCAUUCCUCGGGUGCAUCUUGGUCAUCCUGCUUUUGCUCGUUAUUCUCUCCCUCAUUCUGUCGG